GGCGGAUGUCAUCGGUUCGAGUCCGCUUAUCUCCA
This 35-nucleotide transfer RNA is filed under the name Thymophylla tenuiloba. Its description in RNAcentral is "partial tRNA-Ala". The record is from RNAcentral. Lineage: Eukaryota; Viridiplantae; Streptophyta; Magnoliopsida; Asterales; Asteraceae.